This 1132-nucleotide long non-coding RNA is filed under the name Citrus x clementina. RNAcentral's name for it is "Citrus clementina (C. clementina) long non-coding RNA (CCLE_LNC005596)". The record is from RNAcentral. Lineage: Eukaryota; Viridiplantae; Streptophyta; Magnoliopsida; Sapindales; Rutaceae.
UAAAUUAAAUUUAACGUAGUCUUGGCUGACACUAUAUUAAAUAAAAAAUAAUACUACAUAAUCGAGUAUAAUUCAAUCUAAUUUUAAGAUUUAAUUCAAUUUAAUCCAAUCUUCCAAACGUAACCAUUAGAGGUGUUCGCGGAUCAGAUUUUACGGAUUGGACAUUAAUGCAUAUCCGAUCCACAAUUUUGUGGAUUAUAAUUUUUCAAUCCAAUCCAAUCCACGGAUUGAUUAAACUCAAUCCAAAUCCAAUCCGUACAUUUGCAGAUCAGAUGCGGAUUUGACUAAAUCCGCAUCUGAUCCAUACAUCUGCAGAUCGGAUGCGGAUUUAACUUAAUCCAUAUCCAAUCUACCAUUUUAUGCAUUAGUUUCCGAAUUAAAAAAAUUUAGUUCUCCUCAAUCCAUGAACUAAUGAAAUUAAAAAAAAUUAAUAUAAAAAUAAUUUUGCUACCAAUUAAAUUUAAAAUUGAAUAAAAUUUAAACAAAUUAAUUAUUUAAAUAAAACUAAAUUAAUACAUUCAAAGUUUCAAAAUAUAGUAGAUUGAGAUUAAUUGUUCAAAUAAAGCUACAAUAAUACGUUUAAAGUUUCAAAAUGUAACACACUAAGAUUAAUUGUUCAAAUAAAGCCACAAUUAAUUGAAAUGACGAAGUUUCUGAAACCUAACACAGUCUGAUCCUUCACCAAGGCUGUUGUACUUGUCGAAAAGUGGUGAUUACGGAGCCGACAACGAUGGGAACCAAGAGAAGUAUGGGUGGUGAUCUUAAAGGUUGUGAUAGUGCAAUUGUUUGGCUAGAACCAGUAAUUGUGAAGUGGUUCGAUGAACUCGGGGAAGAAGAUGGCUUGCUCUCAUUGGAAUUGUACAGCCGACGUCCUUCAAAUUGGUGUCGAGGGUGUAUCGAACCAAUAUUGGGUGUUGCUAGUGCAUGUGACGACGGGGAAGCUUAUGAUUUUUUGUUUGCAAAUUGUUGGUGACUUGAUGUUAUGCUACUUUGCUUUUGGGUGACUUUGCAAAUUGUUGGUAAUUUGGCAUUAUGUUACUUUACUUUUGUUAGUGCGUGUGACUUUACUUUUAUUUUAUUUUACAAAUUUUACAAGUUAUAUUUGUAUAUUUGAUUAUUUAAUUAUUUUAUA